This 1434-nucleotide ribosomal RNA is filed under the name uncultured organism. RNAcentral's name for it is "16S ribosomal RNA". It matches the Rfam family "Bacterial small subunit ribosomal RNA". The record is from RNAcentral.
CAGGCUUAACACAUGCAAGUCGAGGGGCAGCAUGGUCUUAGCUUGCUAAGGCCGAUGGCGACCGGCGCACGGGUGAGUAACACGUAUCCAACCUGCCGUCUACUCUUGGACAGCCUUCUGAAAGGAAGAUUAAUACAAGAUGGCAUCAUGAGUCCACAUGUUCACAUGAUUAAAGGUAUUCCGGUAGACGAUGGGGAUGCGUUCCAUUAGAUAGUAGGCGGGGUAACGGCCCACCUAGUCUUCGAUGGAUAGGGGUUCUGAGAGGAAGGUCCCCCACAUUGGAACUGAGACACGGUCCAAACUCCUACGGGAGGCAGCAGUGAGGAAUAUUGGUCAAUGGGCGAGAGCCUGAACCAGCCAAGUAGCGUGAAGGAUGACUGCCCUAUGGGUUGUAAACUUCUUUUAUAAAGGAAUAAAGUCGGGUAUGCAUACCCGUUUGCAUGUACUUUAUGAAUAAGGAUCGGCUAACUCCGUGCCAGCAGCCGCGGUAAUACGGAGGAUCCGAGCGUUAUCCGGAUUUAUUGGGUUUAAAGGGAGCGUAGAUGGAUGUUUAAGUCAGUUGUGAAAGUUUGCGGCUCAACCGUAAAAUUGCAGUUGAUACUGGAUAUCUUGAGUGCAGUUGAGGCAGGCGGAAUUCGUGGUGUAGCGGUGAAAUGCUUAGAUAUCACGAAGAACUCCGAUUGCGAAGGCAGCCUGCUAAGCUGCAACUGACAUUGAGGCUCGAAAGUGUGGGUAUCAAACAGGAUUAGAUACCCUGGUAGUCCACACGGUAAACGAUGAAUACUCGCUGUUUGCGAUAUACUGCAAGCGGCCAAGCGAAAGCGUUAAGUAUUCCACCUGGGGAGUACGCCGGCAACGGUGAAACUCAAAGGAAUUGACGGGGGCCCGCACAAGCGGAGGAACAUGUGGUUUAAUUCGAUGAUACGCGAGGAACCUUACCCGGGCUUAAAUUGCAGAUGAAUUACGGUGAAAGCCGUAAGCCGCAAGGCAUCUGUGAAGGUGCUGCAUGGUUGUCGUCAGCUCGUGCCGUGAGGUGUCGGCUUAAGUGCCAUAACGAGCGCAACCCUUGUUGUCAGUUACUAACAGGUUCUGCUGAGGACUCUGACAAGACUGCCAUCGUAAGAUGUGAGGAAGGUGGGGAUGACGUCAAAUCAGCGCGGCCCUUACGUCCGGGGCUACACACGUGUUACAAUGGGGGGUACAGAGGGCCGCUACCACGCGAGUGGAUGCCAAUCCCAAAAACCUCUCUCAGUUCGGACUGGAGUCUGCAACCCGACUCCACGAAGCUGGAUUCGCUAGUAAUCGCGCAUCAGCCACGGCGCGGUGAAUACGUUCCCGGGCCUUGUACACACCGCCCGUCAAGCCAUGGGAGCCGGGGGUACCUGAAGUGCGUAACCGCGAGGAGCGCCCUAGGGUAAAACUGGUGACUGGGGC